RNAcentral lists this ribosomal RNA (219 nucleotides) under uncultured bacterium. Its description in RNAcentral is "partial 16S ribosomal RNA". It matches the Rfam family "Bacterial small subunit ribosomal RNA", at positions 15 to 238 of the family's 1533-position model. The record is from RNAcentral.
GAUCAUGGCUCAGGAUGAACGCUGGCGGCGUGCCUAAUACAUGCAAGUCGAACGCUUCACUUCGGUGAAGAGUGGCGAACGGGUGAGUAAUACAUAAGUAACCUGGCAUCUACAGGGGGAUAACUGAUGGAAACGUCAGCUAAGACCGCAUAGGUGUAGAGAUCGCAUGAACUCUAUAUGAAAAGUGCUACGGGACUGGUAGAUGAUGGACUUAUGCGC